GACGAACGCUGGCGGCGUGCUUAACACAUGCAAGUCGAACGGAAAGACGCGGCUUUUGCGCGGUGCUCGAGAGGCGAACGGGUGAGUAACACGCGUGUAUCCUGCCCCUGUAUUUGGGAUAACAUCUCGAAACUGGGGCUAAUAUCGGAUAGGAGCUCUUGCACCGUGGGGGGGGAUGGAGAGUUUCGGCGGUUGGGGAUGGACUAGAGGCUUACGGGCUUGAUGGGGGGGUAGGUGCGUUCCAAGGGUUUGACGGGUAGCCGGCCUGGGAGGGGGACCAGCCACAUUGGGCCUGCGGUACGGCGCAGACGCGUAUGGGAGGCAGUGGGCGAGAGUAUGACGGAAUGGGCGGAAGCCUGAUGCAGCGACGCUGCGUGCGUGAUGACGGGCUACUGGUUGUAAACCGCUUUGGCCUUUGACGAAGCGUGAGUGACGGUAAUGGGUAAAGAAGCACCGGCUAACUACGUG
Molecule: ribosomal RNA, 468 nt
Filed under: uncultured bacterium
Lineage: Bacteria
Description: partial 16S ribosomal RNA
Rfam family: Bacterial small subunit ribosomal RNA
Source: RNAcentral